UGGGGAAUAUUGCGCUAUGGGGGGAACCCUGACGCAGCCAUGCCGCGUGAAUGAAGAAGGCCUUAGGGUUGUAAAGUUCUUUCGGUAUUGAGGAAGGUUGAUGUGUUAAUAGCACAUCAAAUUGACGUUAAAUACAGAAGAAGCACCGGCUAACUCCGUGCCAGCAGCCGCGGUAAUACGGAGGGUGCGAGCGUUAAUCGGAAUAACUGGGCGUAAAGGGCACGCAGGCGGUUAUUUAAGUGAGGUGUGAAAGCCCCGGGCUUAACCUGGGAAUUGCAUUUCAGACUGGGUAACUAGAGUACUUUAGGGAGGGGUAGAAUUCCACGUGUAGCGGUGAAAUGCGUAGAGAUGUGGAGGAAUACCGAAGGCGAAGGCAGCCCCUUGGGAAUGUACUGACGCUCAUGUGCGAAAGCGUGGGGAGCAAACAGGAUUAGAUACCCUGGUAGUCCACGCUGUAAACGCUGUCGAUUUGGGGGUUGGGGUUUUAACUCUGGCGCCCGUAGCUAACGUGAUAAAUCGACCGCCUGGGGAGUACGGCCGCAAGGUUA
Molecule: ribosomal RNA, 548 nt
Filed under: uncultured bacterium
Lineage: Bacteria
Description: bacterial SSU rRNA
Rfam family: Bacterial small subunit ribosomal RNA
Source: RNAcentral